GGUGGCUCAGUGGUAGAGUACUUGCCUUGCAUGCAUGAGACCCUGGUUCGAUUCCUCAGCACCA
This 64-nucleotide transfer RNA is filed under the name Dipodomys ordii (Ord's kangaroo rat). It matches the Rfam family "tRNA". Rfam says of the family: Transfer RNA (tRNA) molecules are approximately 80 nucleotides in length. Their secondary structure includes four short double-helical elements and three loops (D, anti-codon, and T loops). Further hydrogen bonds mediate the characteristic L-shaped molecular structure. tRNAs have two regions of fundamental functional importance: the anti-codon, which is responsible for specific mRNA codon recognition, and the 3' end, to which the tRNAs corresponding amino acid is attached (by aminoacyl-tRNA synthetases). tRNAs cope with the degeneracy of the genetic code in two manners: having more than one tRNA (with a specific anti-codon) for a particular amino acid; and 'wobble' base-pairing, i.e. permitting non-standard base-pairing at the 3rd anti-codon position. Lineage: Eukaryota; Metazoa; Chordata; Mammalia; Rodentia; Heteromyidae. The record is from Rfam by way of RNAcentral.